Hypholoma sublateritium FD-334 SS-4 is the source of this 106-nucleotide non-coding RNA. The record is from the annotation of a GenBank genome assembly. Lineage: Eukaryota; Fungi; Basidiomycota; Agaricomycetes; Agaricales; Strophariaceae.
GGCCCAAUGGUCUAGUAGCAUGAUACGCGCUUCGGGAGUUUCAACCCCGCUUUGGUUUCAAAGCUUUGCAUGUGCGUGGUCCCGGGUUCAACUCCCGGUUGGGCCC